This 1330-nucleotide ribosomal RNA is filed under the name uncultured bacterium. RNAcentral describes it as "partial 16S ribosomal RNA". It matches the Rfam family "Bacterial small subunit ribosomal RNA", at positions 83 to 1399 of the family's 1533-position model. The record is from RNAcentral.
GGGCAACAGAGAGGGGCGAACGGGAGAGAAACACGGAGGCCACCCACCCACAAGACGGGGACAACCCAGGGAAACGGGGGCAAACACCGGAAGAAAGCAACCGGGAGGGAGAAAAAAAGAGGGCAAAAAGCCGCCGCGGGGGGAAGAGCCCGCGCCCCCUAAGAAAGGGGGAGAGGAAACGGCCCCCCAAGGCAAAGAGAGGGAGGCGGCCAGAACGGGGGGCCGCCCACACGGGGAAAGAGAAACGGCCCACACCCCGACGGGAGGCAGCAGACGAGAAGAGACAACAAGGGCCGAAAGGCAGAGAGGGCGACGCCGCGAGAACGAGGAACCCCGGCGGGGAGAAAAGCCCAAAAAGAAGAGAGCAGCGCCGGCAAAAAAAAGAGAAGAGNAGGAGAGAAACCAGCAAAAGAAAAAGCAACGGCAAACUCCGUGCCAGCAGCCGCGGUAACACGGGGGGUUGCAAGCGUUGUCCGGAAUUACUAGGCGUAAAGGGCAGGCAGGCGGACCUGCAAGUUUUCUGUUAAAGACGUCAGCUCAACUGGCGCACGGCAGGAGAUACUGCAGGUCUUGAAUGCGGUUGGGGAAGACAGAAUUCCUGGUGUAGCGGUGGAAUGCGCAGAGAUCAGGAGGAAUACCAAAGGCGAAGGCAGUCUUCCAAGCCGUUAUUGACGCUGAACUGCGAAGGUGUGGGUAUCAAACAGGAUUAGAUACCCUGGUAGCCCACACAGUAAACGAUAAUCACUAGGUGUCGGUUUCGUAUAGGAUUCGGUGCCGUAGCUAACGCGUUAAGUGAUUCGCCUGGGGAGUACGAUCGCAAGGUUGAAACUCAAAGGAAUUGACGGGGGCCCGCACAAGCGGUGGAGCAUGUGGUUUAAUUCGAGGCAACGCGAAGAACCUUACCCGGUUUUGACAUCUGUGGUAACCUGCAGAGAUGUGGGUGUGCCGGUUUACCGGAGCCACAAGACAGGUGCUGCAUGGCUGUCGUCAGCUCGUGUCGUGAGAUGUUGGGUUAAGUCCCGCAACGAGCGCAACUCUUAUCGCUAUUUGCCAUCAUUAAGUUGGGGACUAUAGCGAGACUGCCAGUGACAAACUGGAGGAAGGUGGGAAUGACGUCAAAUCAUCAUGCCCCUUAUGGUCUGGGCUACAAACGUGAUACAAUGGUUGGUACAAAGGGAGGCGAAGCCGUGAGGCCAAGCGAACCCCAUAAAACCAAUCUCAGUUCGGAUUGAAGUCUGCAACUCGACUUCAUGAAGUCGGAAUCGCUAGUAAUCGUAGAUCAGAACGCUACGGUGAAUACGUUCUCGAGGUUUGCACUCACCGCCCGUCA